Molecule: ribosomal RNA, 478 nt
Filed under: uncultured bacterium
Lineage: Bacteria
Description: partial 16S ribosomal RNA
Rfam family: Bacterial small subunit ribosomal RNA
Source: RNAcentral
GAUGAACGCUGGCGGCGUGCUUAACACAUGCAAGUCGAACGGGAAAUCUUUCAUUGAGACUUCGGUGGAUUUGAUUUAUUUCUAGUGGCGGACGGGUGAGUAACGCGUGGGUAACCUGCCUUAUACAGGGGGAUAACAGUCAGAAAUGGCUGCUAAUACCGCAUAAGCGCACAGAGCUGCAUGGCUCAGUGUGAAAAACUCCGGUGGUAUAAGAUGGACCCGCGUUGGAUUAGCUAGUUGGUGGGGUAACGGCCCACCAAGGCGACGAUCCAUAGCCGGCCUGAGAGGGUGAACGGCCACAUUGAGACUGAGGCACGGCCCAGACUCCUACGGGAGGAAGCAGUGGGGAAUAUUGCACAAUGGGGGAAACCCUGAUGAAGCGACGCCGCGUGAAGGAAGAAGUAUCUCGGUAUGUAAACUUCUAUCAGCAGGGAAGAUAGUGACGGUACCUGACUAAGAAGCCCCGGCUAACUACGUG